Molecule: ribosomal RNA, 460 nt
Filed under: uncultured bacterium
Lineage: Bacteria
Description: partial 16S ribosomal RNA
Rfam family: Bacterial small subunit ribosomal RNA
Source: RNAcentral
CCUACGGGUGGCUGCAGUGAGGAAUAUUGGUCAAUGGACGAGAGUCUGAACCAGCCAAGUCGCGUGAAGGAUGACUGCCCUAUGUGUUGUAAACUUCUUUUAUAUGGGAAUAAAAUGUUCCACGUGUGGGAUUUUGUAUGUACCAUAUGAAUAAGGAUCGGCUAACUCCGUGCCAGCAGCCGCGGUAAUACGGAGGAUCCGAGCGUUAUCCGGAUUUAUUGGGUUUAAAGGAAGCGUAGAGGGGUUGUUAAGUCAGUUGUGAAAGUUUGGGGCUCAACCGUAAAAUUGCAAUUGAUACUGGCAGACUUGAGUACAGUUGAGGUAGGCGGAAUGCGUGGUGUAGCGGUGAAAUGCGUAGAUAUCACGAAGAACUCCGAUUGCGAAGGCAGCUUACUAAACUGCCACUGACGCUGAGGCUCGAAAGUGUGGGUAUCAAACAGGAUUAGAUACCCCAGUAGUC